AACGAACGCUGGCGGCAGGCCUAACACAUGCAAGUCGAGCGGACAUCUUCGGAUGUUAGCGGCGGACGGGUGAGUAACGCGUGGGAACGUGCCCUUUGCUUCGGAAUAGCCUCGGGAAACUGGGAGUAAUACCGGAUGUACCCUUUGGGGGAAAGAUUUAUCGGCAAAGGAUCGGCCCGCGUUGGAUUAGGUAGUUGGUGGGGUAAUGGCCUACCAAGCCGACGAUCCAUAGCUGGUUUGAGAGGAUGAUCAGCCACACUGGGACUGAGACACGGCCCAGACUCCUACGGGAGGCAGCAGUGGGGAAUCUUAGACAAUGGGGGAAACCCUGAUCUAGCCAUGCCGCGUGAGCGAUGAAGGCCUUAGGGUUGUAAAGCUCUUUCACCGGGGAAGAUAAUGACGGUACCCGGAGAAGAAGCCCCGGCUAACUACGUG
RNAcentral lists this ribosomal RNA (435 nucleotides) under uncultured bacterium. RNAcentral describes it as "partial 16S ribosomal RNA". It matches the Rfam family "Bacterial small subunit ribosomal RNA", at positions 29 to 507 of the family's 1533-position model. The record is from RNAcentral.